RNAcentral lists this ribosomal RNA (288 nucleotides) under uncultured Eubacteriales bacterium. RNAcentral describes it as "uncultured Clostridiales bacterium partial 16S ribosomal RNA". It matches the Rfam family "Bacterial small subunit ribosomal RNA", at positions 55 to 339 of the family's 1533-position model. Lineage: Bacteria; Bacillati; Bacillota; Clostridia; Eubacteriales. The record is from RNAcentral.
AUUCAAGUCGAACGGACGAGAGGUCUUCGGACCUUGAGUCAGUGGCGGACGGGUGAGUAACGCGUGAGCAACCUGCCCAAGUGAGGGGGAUAACGUUUGGAAACGAACGCUAAUACCGCAUAAAGUAUAUGGAAGGCAUCUUCCGGAUACCAAAGGAGAAAUCCGCACGAGGAUGGGCUCGCGUCCGAUUAGGCAGUUGGUGAGGGUAACGGCCCACCAAACCGACGAUCGGUAGCCGGACUGAGAGGUUGAACGGCCACAUUGGAACUGAGAUACGGUCCAGACUCC